UGUGGGAGCGAGCCUGCUCGCGAUGCAGGCGGCUCGGUCUGUCUGUUGGACCAUGGAGAUCCCAUCGCGAGCAGGCUCGCUCCCACA
This 87-nucleotide unclassified non-coding RNA is filed under the name Pseudomonas sp. A214. The record is from RNAcentral. Lineage: Bacteria; Pseudomonadati; Pseudomonadota; Gammaproteobacteria; Pseudomonadales; Pseudomonadaceae.